GAUAAGCGCUGAAAGCAACGAAGCGCGAAACUUGCCUCGAGAUGAUUCUUGCCUGGGACUUAAAGGCCUCUGAAGGAACGUUUAAGACUAAGACGUUGAUAGGCUGGGUGUGUAAGUGCAGCGAUGCAUUGAGCUAACCAGUACUAAUGAUCCGUGAGGCUUAACCUUAGAACGCCAAAGGUGUUUUG
This 188-nucleotide ribosomal RNA is filed under the name Serratia fonticola. RNAcentral describes it as "partial 23S ribosomal RNA". The stretch from base 1 to 168 matches the Rfam family "Bacterial large subunit ribosomal RNA", at positions 2763 to 2925 of the family's 2925-position model. Lineage: Bacteria; Pseudomonadati; Pseudomonadota; Gammaproteobacteria; Enterobacterales; Yersiniaceae. The record is from RNAcentral.